CACGUAGGCGGAUAUUUAAGUCAGGGGUGAAAUCCCAGAGCUCAACUCUGGAACUGCCUUUGAUACUGGGUAUCUUGAGUAUGGAAGAGGUAAGUGGAAUUCCGAGUGUAGAGGUGAAAUUCGUAGAUAUUCGGAGGAACACCAGUGGCGAAGGCGGCCUACUGGUCCAUUACUGACGCUGAGGUGCGAAAGCGUGGGGAGCAAACA
RNAcentral lists this ribosomal RNA (207 nucleotides) under uncultured bacterium. Its description in RNAcentral is "partial 16S ribosomal RNA". It matches the Rfam family "Bacterial small subunit ribosomal RNA", at positions 568 to 774 of the family's 1533-position model. The record is from RNAcentral.